Anopheles gambiae (African malaria mosquito) is the source of this 428-nucleotide long non-coding RNA. RefSeq lists it as uncharacterized. NCBI's taxonomy places the organism in Eukaryota, Metazoa, Arthropoda, Insecta, Diptera, Culicidae. The record is from RefSeq and is a predicted model, not a curated record. The transcript has 3 exons.
UACCAGCGGAUUGCGCUUCACCGUGUCUACCCAUCUUUCUCGAUCCACCAUGAUUUUUUCUGCUAUCGCACUCACCCGGGAGUUAGGCAUCCUCAGUCUGUCCAGAACUUUCGUUGUGGAAGGAUGUGCGGGAGUGAUGUGCGAUUUCUUGUGUCCCCUACUUUCCUUGUUUACGUUUUGCGCAGUGUUGCUUCUUCUUCCAUUGUGGAAUGAUUUAUCCAAGCUAACUUGUUGAGUUACAGAUGCAUGCGCCAUUCAUCAACGCCUACCUGUUGGCAUCAUCAACAAUCUUCAAAGUGGGUGACAGAAAGAAAACGUUUUACAGGUGUAAAAUAUUAAGCGUUCAGCACAACUCAGCCACAAAACAACGCACUGGAUUACGCUAAGAACCUGUCGAAACGCGCGCAGCCCCCGAGAGCGGUAGGAGA